Long non-coding RNA from Zonotrichia albicollis (white-throated sparrow), 441 nucleotides. RefSeq lists it as uncharacterized. The record is from RefSeq and is a predicted model, not a curated record. NCBI's taxonomy places the organism in Eukaryota, Metazoa, Chordata, Aves, Passeriformes, Passerellidae.
GUACAGCAGGAUCGAGCAUAAAACCAGCAAAAGGAAGAUCAGCGGCUGAAGCAGCUCCCCGCGCUCCUCUUGCUUUUGCAGAUCUGAAAGCCCCAGGGAAGAAGCGAGGAGAGGCUGUGCCUGGCUGGAAACAGCUGCACGGCCCCAUUAACCAGAGCCUGGAGAAUGCCUGACAUAACUCGAGGAGGGAUUUGCUCUGGUUGAGAUGGCUGCAGUCGAGAGGCUCCUGGCGGGGUGAGGUCACUGAACCCUGCUGAGCGCAGCAGGUAAAUGCAAAGCCUACGGCUCUCUUCCCUCAGACACCUCAGGCUGUACUGGUGCCCAGAAAAAGGUGGGUGGUGUCUUUCCUUCUUCACAGAGAGGUGUAAAUUUUAAAGCUUAAUGAAAGCAAUUUGAGUAGUAAUAAUAUUAUCCACUUUAAAGUAGAAACAUUUUGAUGUU